This 272-nucleotide long non-coding RNA is filed under the name Carlito syrichta (Philippine tarsier). RNAcentral's name for it is "Six3os1 conserved region 5 (ENSTSYG00000031020.1)". It matches the Rfam family "Six3os1 conserved region 5". Lineage: Eukaryota; Metazoa; Chordata; Mammalia; Primates; Tarsiidae. The record is from RNAcentral.
CGGGGCUCAUUAGGCGGAGCGGGGUGCCGAGAGGUGCGCGCCGCCGGCCCCUGAGGCCGCCUUUGAGCCGUCGGGGCGGCUUCAUUAAGCGGCGCUAACAAGGCGUACAAAUGCCGGGCCCAGCAGCUUUUUUGCAAUGCCGGGGCCUUAGCAGGGCGCCGGACUAAUGAGGGUCACUCAAAGGGGCUGAUCAAAUAUUCAAAUUUCCCCGCACGCCGGGAACUUUUAUGAACGGAGAAAGUUGAGGCAACUGAGCUGUGUUUACUGUCCGG